UACAGUCUGUGCAUCUCGACAACCGCGGGCUUAAAUAACCCGAACAAGAAUUUAAAAGGGAUUCAGGCUCGCAUUAUGGGUAUGCAGACCUCCCGCCUUUCGGCGGAAGCUGGGAGCACAAAGUAAUGCGGAUGAAACCCACCUGCGUAGAGAGCAGGUUAUCUUCAGUCCACGGCGGAUGUGCGGAUUUUUC
This 193-nucleotide non-coding RNA is filed under the name Candidatus Eubacterium faecavium. RNAcentral describes it as "6S RNA". It matches the Rfam family "6S / SsrS RNA". Rfam says of the family: E. coli 6S RNA was the first non coding RNA to be sequenced, but its function was unknown until recently. It consists of 184 nucleotides that fold into an extended hairpin structure with a large single-stranded internal bulge. The 6S RNA specifically associates with RNA polymerase holoenzyme containing the sigma70 specificity factor. Lineage: Bacteria; Bacillati; Bacillota; Clostridia; Eubacteriales; Eubacteriaceae. The record is from RNAcentral.